AACUAUAGAGUUUGAUCCUGGCUCAGAUUGAACGCUGGCGGCAUGCCUUACACAUGCAAGUCGAACGAGAAAGGGGUUUCGGCCCUGAGUAGAGUGGCGCACGGGUGAGUAACGCGUAAGUAACCUACCCCUUUAUUGGGGAUAACAGUUCGAAAGGGCUGCUAAUACCGAAUAAUCUCCGAUAAUGCGAGUUAUUGGAGGAAAGGUAACCUCUUGAUAAAGUUACCGUAGAGGGAGGGGCUUGCGUACCAUUGGCUAGUUGGCGAGGUAACGGCUCCCCAAGGCGACGAUGGUUAGCGGGUCUGAGAGGAUGAUCCGCCACACUGGAACUGAAACACGGACCAGACUCCUACGGGAGGCAGCAGUGAGGAAUAUUGCGCAAUGGGGGCAACCCUGACGCAGCGACGCCGCGUGAGUGAAGAAGGCCUUUGGGUUGUAAAGCUCUGUCGGGAGGGAAGAAAUGCUUGGCGGUUAAUAGCCGUCAGGUUUGACGGUACCUUCAAAGGAAGCACCGGCUAACUCCGUGCCAGCAGCCGCGGUAAUACGGAGGGUGCGAGCGUUAAUCGGAAUUACUGGGCGUAAAGGGCGCGUAGGCGGCCCGGCAAGUCAGAUGUGAAAGCCCACGACUCAAUCGUGUGAAGUGCAUUUGAAACUAUCGGGCUUGAGUACCGGCGGGGGAGAUGGAAUUCCCGGUGUAGAGGUGAAAUUCGUAGAUAUCGGGAGGAAUACCGGUGGCGAAGGCGAUCUUCUGGACGGAUACUGACGCUGAGGCGCGAAAGCGUGGGGAGCAAACAGGAUUAGAUACCCUGGUAGUCCACAGCUGUAAACGAUGUGCACUAGAUGUAGGCAGGAAUUGACCCUGUCUGUGUCGUCGCUAACGCAUUAAGUGCACGCUGGGGAGUACGGCCGCAAGGUUAAAACUCAAAGGAAUUGACGGGGGCCCGCACAAGCGGUGGAGUAUGUGGUUUAAUUCGACGCAACGCGAAGAACCUUACCUGGGCUUGACAUCCCGGGAAUCCCUUUGAAAGGAGGGAGUGCUUUCUAUUAGGAAGAACCCGGAGACAGGUGCUGCAUGGCUGUCGUCAGCUCGUGUCGUGAGAUGUUGGGUUAAGUCCCGCAACGAGCGCAACCCUUGCCUUUAGUUGCCAUCAUUAAGUUGGGCACUCUAGAGGGACCGCCGGUGUCAAACCGGAGGAAGGUGGGGAUGACGUCAAGUCCUCAUGGCCUUUAUGUCCAGGGCUACACACGUACUACAAUGGCCGGUACAGAGAGCAGCGAGUCAGCGAUGCCAAGCUAAUCUCAUAAAGCCGGUCUCAGUCCGGAUUGGAGUCUGCAACUCGACUCCAUGAAGUUGGAAUCGCUAGUAAUCGCGGAUCAGCAUGCCGCGGUGAAUACGUUCCCCGGCCUUGGUCCACACCGCCCGUCACACCACGAAAGUUGGUUGUUCCAGAAGCGGUUGGGCUAACCCGCAAGGGAGGUAGGCCGCCAAGGAAUGAUUAGUAAUUGGGGUGAAGUCGUAACAAGGUAGCCGUAGGGGAACCUGCGGCUGGAUCACCUCCUUUCU
This 1564-nucleotide ribosomal RNA is filed under the name Desulfobulbaceae bacterium. Its description in RNAcentral is "bacterial SSU rRNA". It matches the Rfam family "Bacterial small subunit ribosomal RNA". Lineage: Bacteria; Pseudomonadati; Thermodesulfobacteriota; Desulfobulbia; Desulfobulbales; Desulfobulbaceae. The record is from RNAcentral.